RNAcentral lists this ribosomal RNA (417 nucleotides) under uncultured bacterium. RNAcentral's name for it is "bacterial SSU rRNA". It matches the Rfam family "Bacterial small subunit ribosomal RNA", at positions 917 to 1338 of the family's 1533-position model. The record is from RNAcentral.
GGGCCCGCACAAGCGGUGGAGCAUGUGGUUUAAUUCGAUGCAACGCGAAGAACCUUACCAGGACUUGACAUACUACAAAUUCUUUUGAGAAAAAGAAGUGCCUUCGGGAAUGUAGAUACAGGUGGUGCAUGGCUGUCGUCAGCUCGUGUCGUGAGAUGUUGGGUUAAGUCCCGCAACGAGCGCAACCCUUAUUUUUAGUUACCAAUUCGUUGGGUUCUCUAGAAAGACUGCCGGUGACAAACCGGAGGAAGGUGAGGAUGACGUCAAGUCAGCAUGCCCCUUAUGUCCUGGGCUACACACGUGCUACAAUGGUUAAGACAAAGAGUCGCGAGCUCGUAAGAGUCAGCUAAUCUCAUAAACUUAGCCCAAGUUCAGAUUGUAGGCUGCAACUCGCCUACAUGAAGUUGGAAUCGCUAG